CCUACGGGAGGCAGCAGUGGGGAAUUUUGGACAAUGGGCGAAAGCCUGAUCCAGCCAUGCCGCGUGAGUGAAGAAGGCCUUCGGGUUGUAAAGCUCUUUCAGCCGGAAAGAAAUCGCGCAGGCUAAUACUCUGCGUGGAUGACGGUACCGGAAGAAGAAGCACCGGCUAACUACGUGCCAGCAGCCGCGGUAAUACGUAGGGUGCGAGCGUUAAUCGGAAUUACUGGGCGUAAAGCGUGCGCAGGCGGUUAUAUAAGACAGAUGUGAAAUCCCCGGGCUCAACCUGGGAACUGCGUUUGUGACUGUAUGACUAGAGUACGGCAGAGGGAGGUGGAAUUCCGCGUGUAGCAGUGAAAUGCGUAGAUAUGCGGAGGAACACCGAUGGCGAAGGCAGCCUCCUGGGCCAGUACUGACGCUCAUGCACGAAAGCGUGGGGAGCAAACAGGAUUAGAUACCCUGGUAGUCCACGCCCUAAACGAUGUCAACUAGUUGUUCGGUGAGGAGACUCAUUGAGUAACGCAGCUAACGCGUGAAGUUGACCGCCUGGGGAGUACGGCCGCAAGGUUAAAACUCAAAAUGAAAUUGACGG
RNAcentral lists this ribosomal RNA (589 nucleotides) under uncultured bacterium. RNAcentral describes it as "bacterial SSU rRNA". It matches the Rfam family "Bacterial small subunit ribosomal RNA", at positions 338 to 916 of the family's 1533-position model. The record is from RNAcentral.